RNAcentral lists this ribosomal RNA (330 nucleotides) under Triticum aestivum (bread wheat). Its description in RNAcentral is "partial small subunit ribosomal RNA". The record is from RNAcentral. Lineage: Eukaryota; Viridiplantae; Streptophyta; Magnoliopsida; Poales; Poaceae.
AUGGCUAUGAAGAGCAGACUAAUUUUGGCUGAAUCUCUUGGAUAUACCUCCAUACAAAUUGAAUCAGAUGCCUUAGAGGUUGUUAAUGCAUGUUCAGGCCAAGAGAGGAUGUGGAGCGAAGCUACUGCUAUAUAUGCGGACUGUUUUAUUAUAGCUGGAAUGAUUGGGAAUGUUGAGUUCACACAUUGCCGAUGGGAAGCAAAUGAAGCUGCGCACAAUUUAGCUAAAUUUUCUUAUGAGAAUAAUGUUUCUUGUAAUUGGGUUGAUGAACCCCCAGAUUUUCUUAUAAACUCUUUAGUGAACGAUGUAACGAUUUUGCCAAAUCAAUAA